Molecule: transfer-messenger RNA, 394 nt
Filed under: human gut metagenome
Rfam family: transfer-messenger RNA
About the family: Bacterial tmRNA, also known as 10Sa RNA or SsrA, is named for its dual tRNA and mRNA-like properties. Its role is to liberate the mRNA from a stalled ribosome. To accomplish this part of the tmRNA is used as a reading frame that ends in a translation stop signal.
Source: RNAcentral
GGGGACGUUUUGGAUUUGACAGGAUGUUCGGUGAAAAUAGACUGCGGGUCCGUGCGCUGUUCACGGUUAUCAACGAGCAAAACAAAUUAAAUGCUAACAAUGUAAUUAAAGCUGACUUCUCUAGAGCACAAGCUCUAGCUGCUUAGUCGCGACUAGCUACUCAUAAGUCCCAGCUUGCCGGAUUUAUGGGUCAAUGAUGCAAGACGCAGUACAGUGAUUGAUGGUAACUGUAUCAAGCUAACCAUCAAAGGUUUGGAGUUUCCUUUAAAUAAAACCUUGGGCUGAUUUGUCGGGUAUUGAUUUUUUCCUGAAUCAGUUGAGCGAAUGAAAAUCUACACUCGUAGAAGUUUAUUUUAAUCCAUUUUGGACGUGGGUUCGACUCCCACCGUCUCCA